The submitters of this non-coding RNA (76 nucleotides) gave its source as unclassified sequences. The record is from Rfam.
GGGGGAAGUCUUACGCCCCCCGCCGGGCAAAGUGUUAAUAGCGCCGCUUGUGGCCGAGCGUCGCGGUUAGUGAAUC